CCCUCCUUUGGGGUUUUACAGUGAGCCCAGGACAGAGCCUAUUCCAAAUCUUCUCACUGCUCUCAGGACUUUCAAGAUAGGCAAUAUGGAACAUUUACUUGCCACUCUGCAGCAUUUUUUUCCUUCAGAAAAGGAAAAAGAAAACAUGCAAGGAAAAAAAGAUCAGUUGUGCCUUUCAGUUUUAAUCUUGUUCGAUUUUCUUUGCCAUGAAUUGCAAGUAGAUAAAAGGAGAGAGCUUUGUUUGGUAUCACUCCCAUAUGACAUGGUUGGACGAACAAUUCUGCCAAACAUUCUUCAAUGCAAUUUUUUCCCUCCAAGGCAAAGGCUAUACUGCAGUAGAUAUCACAGUAAAGGAAGUUGAGUCAAAGGAUACCUCUCUUCACUACUGAAAGCAGCAGAAAGCCUUAGGAAUGUACAGAGAAGACUAGCCCUUUAUCUAGAUA
This is a long non-coding RNA of Tympanuchus pallidicinctus (lesser prairie-chicken), 443 nucleotides long. RefSeq lists it as uncharacterized. NCBI's taxonomy places the organism in Eukaryota, Metazoa, Chordata, Aves, Galliformes, Phasianidae. The transcript has 3 exons. The record is from RefSeq and is a predicted model, not a curated record.